UUUCCUGAAAAUUAAGUCGAAAUUAAUCACAGACCUAAAUGUAAAAUGCAAAACUAUAAAACUUCUAUAAGAUAACAGAGAGGAAAAUCUAGGUGACCUUGGGUUUGAUGAAGACUUUUUAGAUAUAACACCAAA
Molecule: long non-coding RNA, 135 nt
Organism: Sapajus apella (tufted capuchin)
Lineage: Eukaryota; Metazoa; Chordata; Mammalia; Primates; Cebidae
Exons: 3
Source: RefSeq, a predicted model, not a curated record